GACGAACGCUGGCGGCGUGCUUAACACAUGCAAGUCGAACGGAAAGGCCCCUUCUGUGGUACUCGAGUGGCGAACGGGUGGGUAACACGUGCGUAACCUGCCCUUGACUUCGGGAUAACUUCAGGAAACUGGGGCUAAUACCGGAUAGGAAUCCUUGCUUCAUGGUGGGGGGUGGAAAGCUUCGGCGGUUGUGGGUGGAUUCGCGGCUGAUCGGCCGGUUGGUGGGGUAGUGGCUUACCAAGGCUUGGACGGGUAGCUGGCCGGGGAGGGCGCGCGGCCAGAUUGGGACGGAGAGAGGGGCCAGACUCCGACGGGAGGCAGGAGUGGGGAGUAUGGCACAGUGGGAGGAGGCGGGACGCAGCAACGCCGGGGGCGGGAUGACGGCCGGCGGGUGGUAAACCGAUGUCGCCGGGGACGAAGCGUGAGUGACGGGAAUGGGUAAAGAAGCACCGGCUAACUACGUG
RNAcentral lists this ribosomal RNA (464 nucleotides) under uncultured bacterium. RNAcentral's name for it is "partial 16S ribosomal RNA". It matches the Rfam family "Bacterial small subunit ribosomal RNA", at positions 28 to 507 of the family's 1533-position model. The record is from RNAcentral.